UGGCGGACGGGUGAGUAACGCGUGGGUAACCUGCCUCACACUGGGGGACGACAGUUAGAAAUGACUGCUAAUACCGCAUAAGCGCACAGGACCGCAUGGUCCGGUGUGAAAAACUCCGGUGGUGUGAGAUGGACCCGCGUUUGAUUAGCUAGUUGGUGGGGUAACGGCCUACCAAGGCGACGAUCAAUAGCCGACCUGAGAGGGUGACCGGCCACAUUGGGACUGAGACACGGCCCAA
Molecule: ribosomal RNA, 238 nt
Filed under: uncultured bacterium
Lineage: Bacteria
Description: partial 16S ribosomal RNA
Rfam family: Bacterial small subunit ribosomal RNA
Source: RNAcentral